Molecule: ribosomal RNA, 253 nt
Filed under: uncultured bacterium
Lineage: Bacteria
Description: partial 16S ribosomal RNA
Rfam family: Bacterial small subunit ribosomal RNA
Source: RNAcentral
GACGAGCUCUCCAAACGUUAUUCGGUAUUACUGGGCUUAAAGAGUUCGUAGGCGGUCUUGUAGGUGAGGUGUGAAAGCCCUCGGCUUAACCGAGGAAUUGCGCUUCAAACCGCAGGGCUAGAGGAAGGUAGGGGUAUGCGGAACAGAUGGUGGAGCGGUGAAAUGCGUUGAUAUCAUCUGGAACACCGGUGGCGAAAGCGGCAUACUGGACCUUUUCUGACGCUGAGGAACGAAAGCUAGGGUAGCGAACGGG